RNAcentral lists this ribosomal RNA (253 nucleotides) under uncultured bacterium. RNAcentral describes it as "partial 16S ribosomal RNA". It matches the Rfam family "Bacterial small subunit ribosomal RNA", at positions 524 to 776 of the family's 1533-position model. The record is from RNAcentral.
UACGUAGGGUCCGAGCGUUGUCCGGAAUCAUUGGGCGUAAAGAGCGUGUAGGCGGCUUGGUAAGUCCGCUGUGAAAGUCCAGGGCUCAACCCUGGAAUGCCGGUGGAAACUGUCAGGCUCGAGUCCGGAAGAGGCGAGUGGAAUUCCUGGUGUAGCGGUGAAAUGCGCAGAUAUCAGGAGGAACACCAAUGGCGAAGGCAGCUCGCUGGGCCUUACCUGACGCUGAGGAGCGAAGGCGUGGGGAGCGAACAGG